AUGGCGCUUCCCCAGCUCCUGGCGCUCGCGGCCCUAGUGGCGUCGCUGCCGUCGGCUUCCCCCGCGGCGGCGGGGACGGCUGGUGCAUUCGACAACUGGCUGUCGGCGAACCAGAAAGAUUUCGCGAUCAACCAGGCGUUGUACGCGAAGAAGGCGGUGGGUGACACGGGCAGCACCAUCGACGAGUCCCUGUCCAAGGCGGAGGAUAACAAGACCACCUACGUGGUGGACCCCAAGGGCGGUGGUGACUACAAGACCAUCACGGCCGCGAUCGACGCCAUCCCGGAGGGCAACACCGGUCGCGUAAUCCUGGACCUGAAACCCGGCGAGUACCGUGAGAAGAUCUUCCUCAACCUCAGCAAGCCCUACGUCACUUUCAAGUCCGAUCCCAAGAACCCGGCCAUCAUCGCCUGGAGCGACACCGCUGCGACGCUAGGGAAAGAUGGGAAGCCCGUGGGCACGGUGGGGAGCACCACCUGCGCCAUCGAGUCCGACUACUUCGUGGCGUACGGCGUGGUGUUCAAGAACGACGCGCCACUGGCCAAGCCGGGGGUCAAGGGCGGGCAGGCGGUGGCGCUGCGUACGUUCGGCACCAAGCAGGCCUUCUACAACUGCACCAUCGACGGCGGGCAGGACACGCUGUACGACCAUAAGGGGCUGCACUACUUCAAGGACUGCGUGAUCAAAGGGAGCGUGGACUUCAUCUUCGGGUUUGGGAGGUCCCUGUACGAGAACUGCCGCAUCGUGUCCAUCGUGAAGGAGAUCGCCGUGCUCACGGCGCAGCAGCGGACCAAGACCAUCGAGGGCGCUAUCGAGAGCGGGGCGUGGGGGGACUCGUCGCGCGUCAUCUACGCCUACACCGAGAUGAGCAAGGAGGUGGUGCCAGUUGGAUGGGACGGAUGGAACAUCAAGCAGCCUGAGAGUAGCGGGAUCUACUACGGCGAGUUCAAAUGCAGUGGGCCGGGGUCGGACGCGAGGAAGAGGGUCGGGUGGGCUGUGGAUCUCACCGAGGCCCAGGCCAAGCCCUUCAUCGGCACACACUACGUCUUCGGCGACUCUUGGAUUCUGCCACCGCCAACUGGGAACUCUCCUCCCUCCAAAAAAGGCUACAGUGGAGGAGCCCCCCGCCACAUCCCCCGCCGCAUCCCCCGCCUCAUCGCCCGAGUCCGCAGAUUCGGCCUCGUCGCCCGAGUCGGCGGAUUCGGCCGAGUCGCCCAAGUCGGCGUCCAAAGCCUCGUCGCCCAAAUCCGCCUACUCAGCUGGAUCCAAGACGAAGAAGAAAGAAUUAUAGAGGAAGAAGAUAUCACUCUUCUUCGUGUGUUAGAGGCAACGCUUCACCAUCUUGCUCUGCAAGAGGCUUCGAUCGGGCUUUAG
Molecule: ribosomal RNA, 1374 nt
Filed under: Triticum aestivum (bread wheat)
Lineage: Eukaryota; Viridiplantae; Streptophyta; Magnoliopsida; Poales; Poaceae
Description: partial small subunit ribosomal RNA
Source: RNAcentral